RNAcentral lists this ribosomal RNA (500 nucleotides) under uncultured bacterium. RNAcentral describes it as "bacterial SSU rRNA". It matches the Rfam family "Bacterial small subunit ribosomal RNA", at positions 402 to 916 of the family's 1533-position model. The record is from RNAcentral.
UGAGGAAUGACGGCCUGUGGGUUGUAAACCUCUUUUCUCAAGGAAGAAGUUCUGACGGUACUUGAGGAAUAAGCAUCGGCUAACUCUGUGCCAGCAGCCGCGGUAAUACAGAGGAUGCAAGCGUUAUCCGGAAUCACUGGGCAUAAAGCGUCUGUAGGUGGUUUGAUAAGUCUGCUGUUAAAGACUGGGGCUCAACCCCAGGAAAGCAGUGGAAACUGUCAGACUUGAGUAUGGUAGAGGUAGAGGGAAUUCCUAGUGUAGCGGUGAAAUGCGUAGAUAUUAGGAAGAACACCAAUGGCGAAGGCACUCUACUGGACCAUAACUGACACUGAGAGACGACAGCUAGGGGAGCAAAUGGGAUUAGAUACCCCAGUAGUCCUAGCCGUAAACGAUGGAUACUAGAUGUUGCACGUAUUAACCCGUGCAGUAUCGUAGCUAAGGCGUUAAGUAUCCCGCCUGGGAAGUACGCUCGCAAGAGUGAAACUCAAAGGAAUUGACGG